GCAUAUUUUUUGCAGCGGCAAGCUUUGAGGCGCGGUAGAAAUCAUAGCAGUGAUGAGCUAAAAUUUGUGACUUUGUUAGAAUACGGCUGUUAGUCUUAAAUAGUA
Molecule: long non-coding RNA, 105 nt
Organism: Rhagoletis zephyria (snowberry fruit fly)
Lineage: Eukaryota; Metazoa; Arthropoda; Insecta; Diptera; Tephritidae
Source: RefSeq, a predicted model, not a curated record